GCUCGCCCCGCCCCGCGAGCCCGGUGGACCUGGGGCGGCGCGGGUGCCCGCGGUCCCGGGGCCGCGCGAGGAGGGCGGGGGCGCCCGCGGCCUAAGAGCUCAGCUUGAGAAGAGGACGUGCUCAGUUUCCACGUCGUGGCAAUAAAAGUAUCGCUUACCCCGCGCCCGGAGUGGUACCAAGCACUUUCCACCAAGGGUUCACAAAUUUACCGAAUCGCGUCUCUCUGCGGCUCAGCUGGAAAAUGGGAAUAGAGAGGCGACCUCCUGGGACUGCAGCAAAUGCCAUCGGGAAGGGCGUGGGCUCCGUAAACCGAGGCGCGGAACACACGCUUGCUAAAUUUAUUCCCAUCCUCUACACGUGGGGUGACAACUUCACUCUUGCCGCCCAGACACACACACACACACACACACACACACACACACACACACUAUUCCCAAUGUGCAGAUGAAGAAAUAAGACUCGGGGACGUUCCUGGCUGAGGCAGUUUUGAAGCAUGGUUCUCAACUCAAGAUUCAUUCAUUCAAUACUUAUUAAAAGUACCUACUGUGUGUCGGGCUCUGUUCCAAGCAUUGGGGCAUUCAGUGGUGAACACGAUGGACUGUUCCAGAACAGUGGUCCUCGGUUUGACAAGGGCAAACCCAAAGGGAGAAGAGACCUGCAUUAUUAACAGACGCCUCUCAAGCACCUGGCCCCACACACAGCAUCCCGUCAAAUCCACCGCCACCCAACAACCGCCUGAGGCUGGUGCUGUUAUCAGGAAACUGGGCACAGAGAGUGUCAGUAGCUUUCCCGAGGCCACACAGCUCCUGAAUGGAGGAACUGGGAUCUGAACUCAUGCUCUCGCCCACUUGGCUGCUAGCUUGUGUAGCAGUAAAGCUCGGGUUUUAAAACAGAUAAGAUAUAUGAAAACACAUAGCCCAGCGCCUGGCACCAAGCAGACACUCAAUAAAAGAUGCGUCGUCCUUCCAGGGAGCUAACCAGAUGGUCCAGCAGAAGGAGCACCAUCUUUGCAUCUCAACGGAUGAGUUUGAAACUUCACUCCAUCAAGCAGCAGCUGUGUGCCUUUGCUCGAGUCCCCCGACCUCUCUGAGCUACAACUGCCUCCCAGGCAGGAGUUAAGUCAUGGAGAGUUUGAGACGGAGAAGGUCCUUCUGGUCAUAAUGAGGCCCGACCCGGAAAAAGGAGCACGUGGGCCAGGUCGGGACACCCUGGAGAGACUCCAGCCCCCUCUCACUCACUCGCUCGCUCAGAACCAAGUUGUUUUCAUUGGAGUCUCCUGAGCUGGACAUCAAGAGCCAAGACUGGGGAGUUCCAGUUUCUCGUUUGUUCCCACCACACCCAUCCAGCGGCUGCAGAAUGUCACUGAGACUCAGCCUGGCAGCAAAGACCACUAACUACUGGAGUCAGGAGACCUGGAGGGACCGUCCUGUGAUGGGCAUGGCUUAGACAGGGGCGCCAAAAGGACGGGAAAGAUGGCGACCGCCCUGAGUGGACAGGUGCUAGCUGUGCGGCCCUCAGGCUCUGAGGGGCAUGAGUUUGCUGGCCUUGGAGAGGAAGGGUACAAGCGUGAGGUCCACAUCUUACCUUGGCAGGACUUCUUUGGGGCAGUGCAGGCCCUGCCCGUGGGGAGAUCUGCGGCAAGGUCUUGACCGAUGGAAGUUGCGAGUAACAGAAACCCACUCAAGUUAGCUUAAGCGGAGAGGGGGCUUCUCGGUAGGAUACUGGACUAUUGUGGACCCCAUGGACAGCCAGAACCCUCAAAGAACUAGAAUUAGUCCUGAAAGGGGGUCAGGCACCCUGGCAGUACUUUCUGUGUAUUUCGCACCUCUCCGUAUCCUUCUCCCUCUGCAGCCGGGCCUCGCCCAUUCCCUGUGGACAUGACCACCCCGCCAGCACCGGGGUUCACAUCUCCCUUGUUCCGGGGACCAGCUCAGGCCGUGCCCAGCCACCUCCCAGUUCUAACUCCAUAGAGAGAGAAUCUAAUUGGCCCUGUUGGGAACAGAUGUCACCCCUGGUCCAAUCAAGGGAGACCAAGGGGACAUCGCCAGGUACCAUGAACAUGACAGCAAGGCCCUGUGAGCUGGGUGGGCACCCCCCAAGGCCAGAUGGAUGGAAAUGAGCCACAACAAAGACUCUGUGGAGGCAGCCAGAAAAAGGCUCAGAAUCUAGUGAGACAAGAGCUUGGGGUAAAAACUCCAUCCAUUGGACUAAAGCAGACAGUCAGCGUUCCACUUAAGCCCAUCAAACUCCCAACCAUUUCUGUGCACGCCAACCUGACUUGCCCCAGCCGCACCUGCGCCUGCUGGAGGGCUGCCCCUGGGCUGCACGUAGCCCGUGAGCAUGGUGGCCCCCAAGUGCCUGGGAUUUAGUGCCCCGGGGACAUCAGCUGACAAUGGCUGACAGGGCUGGGGGUGCAAAUACCCCGGAUCCCGUGCUCUCAGCUGGGAAGAUUCCGAGAUGGGUGUCUGCCGGAAGGAUUCCCUACUCGGCCACGCGGUCGCUGGCUGAAUGAUGCACAUUCCCUGUAUCGCUAAUGCAUCUCUUUCCUCUAUUCCUCGCCCCUUUCAGAUACACCGCCCUCAAAUCCUCAGCUGGGCGUCUGCUUCUGGGAACCCAAACGAGGACAAGGACCCUGAAGUUUGGGGACAGGGACCCAGGAGUCACAUUAUUCUCUUAGGACACCUGUGCAUUCGUUCAUCCAGCCCCUGAAUAUUGACUGAGUAUCUACUCCGUGCCAGGGGGUGUGCUGACAAAUAUAGGAGAGAAAUAGGAAAAACCCGACAGUCUGAACAGCCAUAUAAAGAGAGAAGGGCUUUUUACAAGGAGAGUCUGGGAAGCCAAAGGCUGACUGUGGUAUUAUUUCACUGUAUAAAAACUAUGACUCACGGAGGAAAAGGGAACACGGAAUCCCAGAAUACGAUGGGCACCCCCUUUAAAAUCUGAGAGAGGUAGUUUAGGGCAAAUUAAAGGAAUUCUUCAUCCAACAGUGAAUAGCAAAUUUAUUCACCUCCAGUUACCCCACAAGAAGUAAUACAAGCAGAAAAUGUAAAUAGAUUUUUAAAAAUAAAUGAAUGCUGGAG
Molecule: long non-coding RNA, 3081 nt
Filed under: Equus asinus (donkey)
Lineage: Eukaryota; Metazoa; Chordata; Mammalia; Perissodactyla; Equidae
Description: lncRNA (ENSEASG00005033166.1)
Source: RNAcentral